This 301-nucleotide ribosomal RNA is filed under the name uncultured bacterium. RNAcentral's name for it is "partial 16S ribosomal RNA". It matches the Rfam family "Bacterial small subunit ribosomal RNA", at positions 509 to 807 of the family's 1533-position model. The record is from RNAcentral.
CAGUCGCCGCGGUAAUACGGAGGGUGCAAGCGUUAAUCGGAAUUACUGGGCGUAAAGCGCACGCAGGCGGUCUGACAAGUCAGAUGUGAAAUCCCCGGGCUUAACCUGGGAACUGCAUUUGAAACUGUCAGGCUGGAGUCUUGUAGAGGGGGGUGGAAUUCCAGGUGUAGCGGUGAAAUGCGUUGAGAUCUGGAGGAAUACCGGUGGCGAAGGCGGCCCCCUGGACAAAGACUGACGCUCAGGUGCGAAAGCGUGGGGAGCAAACAGGAUUAGAGACCCCAGUAGUCCCUGUCUCUUAUAC